CAAUAAGAGCUUGCCUGAUGCUGUUGUUUGGUGGCCUGAAUGUGCAUAGAAUACCUACUGUCUACUUGAAUAGGUUUAUUGUAUGUUCUAUGUAUUUCUAUGACAAACUUUCAACCUUUUUGUGUUUCUUUUUCUUUUUGCUUUGGGUAGAAUUGUAAACAGUAGGCACAGUCAUUCCUUGAUCGACCUGGCAUCAACAUCGCUCGAUGUGUAUGAAGCUGCAAGUGAGAGAAGAAGCCGCCACUGAACACCUUUUUGGACUGUCAUGACUCAAAUGAAAGGACAGGACUUCUACUCUGCUGGGUCGGCCUCACUACAUAUUCAAGAAGCCCUCGGACGUCAUCAGAAUGUAUUAAUGUGAAGAGGCAACAAGGGAGAGAUGAACGCUAUCAAAAAUGUGGAGAUGGAUCUGGCAGCCGACCGCUUUUGCACACACCCAACAAGAAACAAAACAAUAAAGAAUACU
Molecule: long non-coding RNA, 466 nt
Organism: Engraulis encrasicolus (European anchovy)
Lineage: Eukaryota; Metazoa; Chordata; Actinopteri; Clupeiformes; Engraulidae
Exons: 3
Source: RefSeq, a predicted model, not a curated record